AAGGCUAAAUACUCUCUAAUGACCGAUAGUGAACAAGUACCGUGAGGGAAAGGUGAAAAGAACCCCGGGAGGGGAGUGAAAUAGAGAAUCUGAAACCAUAUGCUUACAAAAAGUUCGAGCCCAUUAACGGGUGAGAGCGUGCCUUUUGCAGAAUGAGCCGGCGAGUUAUGGUAUUGUGCAAGGUUAAGUGGAAAACACGGAGCCGAAGCGAAAGCAAGUCUUAAUAGGGCGAUUUAGUACAAUGCUGUAGACCCGAAACCGAGUGAUCUAGCCAUGAGCAGGUUGAAGUUGGGGUAAUACCCAAUGGAGGACCGAACCAGGGUACUAUGUAACGUGCUUGGAUGACUUGUGGCUAGCGGUGAAAUUCCAAUCGAACUCGGAUAUAGCUGGUUCUCCCCGAAAUAGGUUUAGGCCUAGCCUUGAAUUAUUUCAUCCUGGAGGUAGAGCACUGAAUGUGGAAUGGCCGCGUCUAGCGGUACUGACUGCAAUCAACCUCCGAAUGCCAGGAAUUGUAGAUUCAGGAGUCAGUGUAUGAGGUGAUAACGUCCAUACGCGAGAGGAAAACAAUCCAGACCAUCAACUAAGGUCCCUAAAUAUAUGUUAAGUGGGAAAGGAUGUGGAGACGCACGAACAGCUAGGAGGUUGGCUUAGAAGCAGCCAUCCUUUAAAGAGUGCGUAAUAGCUCACUAGUCGAGUAUCUCUGCGCCGAAAAUGUACCGGGGCUAAACAUAUUACCGAAGUUAUGGAUUUAUAAUUUAUUAUAAAUGGUAGGGGAGCGUUCUAAGGGCGCUGAAGGUAGAUCGUGAGGACUACUGGAGCGCUUAGAAGUGAGAAUGCCGGUGUGAGUAACGUAAGGUAGGUGAGAAUCCUACCCACUAUUUGACCAAGGUUUCCAGGGUCAAGUUCGUCUUCCCUGGGUUAGUCGGGACCUAAGGCGAGGCUGAAAAGCGUAGUCGAUGGACAACAGGUUUAUAUUCCUGUACUGCUUAUAGGACUGAUGGAGUGACGGAGAAAGCUAGAAAGAGCCAGUUAUUGGAUUCUGGUCUAAGCGUUUAGGUUGAUGCACAGGAAAAUCCGUGAUAUCGAUAAGACUGAAGCGUGAUGGCGACGUGGUCUACGGACCGCUAAGUCUUUUGAAGCUAUGCUUCCAAGAAAAACUUCUAAAGAUAUGUUAUAAGUACCCGUACCUAGAACCAACACAGGUGGUCAAGGAGAGAAUCCUAAGGUGAGCGAGAGAACUAUGGUUAAGGAACUCGGCAAAAUUACCCCGUAACUUCGGAAUAAGGGGAGGUUUCUUCGGAAACCCGCAGUGAAUAGGUCCAGGCAACUGUUUACCAAAAACACAGGUCUCUGCUAAAGCGUAAGCUGAUGUAUAGGGGCUGACGCCUGCCCAGUGCUGGAAGGUUAAGAUGAUUUGUUAGGUGGACGAAAGUCGAUAACACCGAAGCUUUGAUUUGAAGCCCCAGUGAACGGCGGCGAUAACUAUAAUCGUCCAAAGGUAGCGAAAUUCCUUGUCAGGUAAGUUCUGACCCGCACGAAAGGCGUAAUGAUCUGGACGCUGUCUCAACCAUAGACUCGGUGAAAUCUUAAUACCUGUGAAAAUGCAGGUUACCCGCGACAGGACGGAAAGACCCCAUGGAGCUUUACUGUAGCUUGAUAUUGAAGUUAGGUAAUUUAUGUAGAGGAUAGGUGGUAGACUAUGAUGUAUGGACGCCAGUUCAUACGGAGUCGCCCUUGGAAUACCACCCUUAAAUUAUUUGACCUCUAACUUACUCCCGUUAUCCGGGAGGAGGACAGUGUCUGGUGGGCAGUUUGACUGGGGCGGUCGCCUCCCAAAGAGUAACGGAGGCGCUCAAAGGUUCCCUCAGAUUGGUCGGAAAUCAAUCAAAGAGUGUAAUGGUAUAAGGGAGCUUGACUGCGAGACCUACAAGUCGAGCAGGUGCGAAAGCAGGACAUAGUGAUCUGGCGGUAGAAUAUGGAAUUGCCGUCGCUUAACGGAUAAAAGUUACCCUGGGGAUAACAGGCUGAUAGCGCCCAAUAGUUCACAUAGACGGCGCUGAUUGGCACCUCGAUGUCGGCUCGUCACAUCCUGGAGGUGGAUUCGCUUCCAAGGGUUGGGCUGUUCGCCCAUUAAAGUGGCACGCGAGCUGGGUUCAGAACGUCGUGAGACAGUUCGGUCCCUAUCCGUCGUGGGCGUAGGAAAAUUGA
This 2208-nucleotide ribosomal RNA is filed under the name human gut metagenome. RNAcentral describes it as "bacterial LSU rRNA". It matches the Rfam family "Bacterial large subunit ribosomal RNA", at positions 462 to 2665 of the family's 2925-position model. The record is from RNAcentral.